AACAAGUUAGAUGACGUGAAGUUUCCUUAGGUUUUGCUGAAAGGUGAUUUUUGUUACUCUGUUAGGACUAUUAACAAUAGCCAAAGUUGAAAAGGUUUGAAACAAAUAAUUUCUUCCUUUCAUUAGAAAAUUAUACUUGCCCUAUGUAAUUUGCUAAGUAGCAAGAAAUUAAUUAAAAUAUCAUAUCUGCUUGUUAACAUAAAAUUGGCACACCAUAGUCAAUUUUCCUUAAGACCAGCAGAUAUUUUAAUUUCAUUUAUAGUAAGAAUUAACAUCAAUGUAUAUCACACAAGCAUUUAAACAUUUAUUUAUUAAAGGAACAUUGAAAAUAAGCUCUUCUACCCAAUUGCUAUUCUUUGCCUUAACAGCAGAUGGGAGCAUUAAACUAAAGAGAUGAUUUUGUCACUAACUCUGAAGACUUUCUGGAUUUUAUCAACCUAGUUGAGAAAUUCAGGGGAAAACUGAGCUAAUCUUGGCAGCAUAAAACUCUACCAGAUUUUCCUGGGAAAGUUUUAACAGAACUUAUUAUGUGUAUUGAAUGUCACUGUUAGCUCUAUUUGGCAUUAGUAGCUCAACAUGAUAUGACAUAAUAUAUUGUAUAUCCCAUAUGGAUGUAAAGACAUUUCCAAAUCACCAAAAAGAAAAGAAAAAGAUGUUUUUAAAAUAAACAUUGGCAAGGAAUAAGUAAAAAUAAUAGGGAAAAUAUGAAUCAUAACCAUCUGUAUUUGUGGCUUAAAAUGGUAAAAAAAAUUGCUUCAACCAAAAUUUUAGACUUGCUUCAUAAUUAUAUACAAGGUACUGAAAUUUCAGCAGCUAUUAACUAUGAAUCAGCUUAGGAAUUGCCAAAACAAAACCUGGUCUCAAUUCUUAAGGCAUUAGCUGUGUAUUGUGGUUAAAUACAACUUUAGUUCUUGACAAUUAGUAUGAUAGUUUGCCAGUAAUUGAGUAAAUAAAUAAUAAGUUUCUAAGCAUCUGCAAAAAUUUUUGCAAACAACAAAUGAUGUACUGUUCAGUAAUUUAUAUUUUUGUGAGAUGGUGAAAUUUUUAUUUUCUCAAAGCCAAGAUAUUUAAAAUGUCUAUUGAAAGAGGCCUGCUACCGAGUAGGCAAGUAGUUCAAAAUUAGUUUUUGCCGCCUAGUGGUCAAGAGGCCUUUUAGUGGUCCUAAGAUUUUUCCAUCUGGGCACUACAUGCAGCCACAAAAGAUCACCUUUUCGAGGUCCCGUUGCUAUAUCAUCUCUCUGUCUAGGGUAAUAAUAAUUUAGGUUUGUGUUUAAAUGAGUUGAAAUGUUUAGCUGAUUUAGUAAAUGUUCACCAAAAAGAAUUUCAAAACCUAGACUCUAGAAAGUACUGCAAUUGCUUCCCCACCUCAUUUCCAUUUAUGUGUUCUGAUACAAAUUUAAUGAUAUUGUACAAGACACUUGAUCUACUCAAGAAGUUUUAAAAAUCCAUUCUUUUUUAUGUUACAAUUUCUCAAUGUAGUUUACAGCUAACGAAGGAAAGCUUCAUUUUUUAAUUGCAAUUUUAAGUAGGCAAAUAAUUUGUUUAUUUAGAAAAUUUAUUCUAAUUCCUCCCCUAUGUCUGAAACACAUAUAUGAGAACAUGGGAUAUAUUUUCUAUAUACAUUUCCUAAGCUUUUAAAACAGCAUUUCUUAAUUCUUAGUGAAUAUAAAAGCUGAAUACCAAAAUGCUUAUCUCAGUGGAAAUGAAGUAGGCCUAUUUGAAUGGUGUUACGGAAAAUAUAUUUAAUAGAAGAGCAAACAGUCAUUUACACAUUGGUGUGAAGAGUAAUAACAGCUGGGAAGUAUCCCAAGAUUGAACAGAAAGUUCAAAGAGGUUCCAUGACCCUCAAAAUAAUUCAUUGCAACUGGAACUGACUAGCACACUUUACAAAUAUUUUCACCAUGCUUUCCACUAAUCACUGAUUGUGGUAAAGAUAUUUUUACGCAAUUUAGAAGUGUGGUAAAUACAAAUCUGACACUUAAUUUUGUAUGUUUUCUAAUGAGGCAUUGUGAAAGGAUGAAAAAAAUGAUAAUGUUAUGGAGUUAAUGGCCAAUUUACAAAAAUUACCAUUCUGA
This 2075-nucleotide long non-coding RNA is filed under the name Homo sapiens (human). RNAcentral describes it as "HSALNT0307873". Lineage: Eukaryota; Metazoa; Chordata; Mammalia; Primates; Hominidae. The record is from RNAcentral.